UAGUUGAGAGGGUUUUCUUUCCUCUGAGAAUUUAAAUUAGCUACUAAAGAAAAGGAUGCUGCUGAAACUUCCAUGAGAAAUCAGCUAAGGUUGCAAUUUUCAGCUAGUCAACAGUGGGAGAAAAAUUAUGUCCCAGAGAGCUGUAUCUGUUUCUACCUACCCACAUAGAUUGAAAGGUGAUAGCUCUGAUUAAUGGCGAUUAGGAGAUGCUGGCUCUAACAAGAAUGAAGAAUUCUGACUCAAGACAGCCCGUACAGCACGUAGAUCACUGAUGAAGUUCUUGAACAAGUCUGGACUCAGUAUCGACACCUACAGGACACCGUUAGUUACAGGCCUCUGACUAGACUGUACUGCUGAUUAUAACUCUCUGAUCUCUGCCAGCCAACCAUUUCUCAAUGUGCCUCACUGUCCACUCUUCUACCCCACACUUCAAAGCUUACCUAUGAGGAAGUUAUGGAAGAGGAUGCCAAAAGUCUUGCUGAAGUCAAGGGCUGGAGAUGAGGCUGACUAACUUGUGGCUUCCUGGCUCCUCCUUCUUGCCCUUUUAGAAGACUCGAGUGGCACUGGCUUUCCUUCAGUCCUUAGACAUGCCUCCUGUUCUCCACAACCUUUCAAAGAUGAUAGGGAGUGCUCCAUGAUAUUCCCCAGCACAGAGGUGAGGCUAACAGGUCGGUAGUUCCCUUGGUCAUCUUUUUUCUACCUGUCUUAAAAAUUGAUGUGAUAUUGCCUUUUUUCCAGUCACCAAGGACUUCACCUGACUACCACGACUUUCCAAAUAUUAUUAUGGUUUGAUGUAUAUCUUUUUACUAAGAAACUUUCUUUCUUUUCAAUGAUAUCAUUUUGUAUUUUUUUAAAAAAUGACACAUUUCUGUGAUCAAGAUUCUUCUAUAAAGUCUUCAAAAAUUCUAAUAACAAAACAAAGCAUUUUAAAAAUAACUGGGAGGGACAUGGGAAAAAUGACAAAAUUACAAAAUAUAUCACACUUGUUAAAGGCUUCUUUUUAUCUUUAGCUUCUGUAAUUUGCUUCUUAAUAAACAGCCUCACUGCUUUAUAGGAGUACAUUCAACUGAUGCAAUUCAAAUUCCAAAUCCAGAUUAAACUGACUUCCUGUUUGACUUUAUGCAUAGUGAAUGUUCUCAUGGUAUUGACUGAAACUCUUCACUAGAAGUUAAACAUUGAUAUAAAUCUUUCUGGAAAAUGAAUCAAAAUUUUUUAUUACAGUAGAAAAGACAAGACCUCAGAAGUGUAUCAGUUCGGUAUUUAGCUGACAGAGGACAAUUUAUGAAAAACUAAUGUCUGUAUGUUAUGAUUUUUCCUCAUCUUUUUAAUUUGAAGGGUUGUCAGCACGCUCAAAACUGCCAGUGGUGAUAGUUAAAUAUAAGUGUUAAGUUCCAGGAGAUUUAUUUGUUUCGUUGUUUUGUUUUGUUAUUUUUUCCUGGUUUAGAAGAUAGGCUUGACAAGCAAACUCUCCGUACUCUCAGGCCGGGACCUGACUGCCAACCUCAGUUUCUUCUAGUCUGACUGAAAAACACUAGCAAUACACGUUCUGUUGGCCAAGUACUUUAUCUUCACCUGAGCAACUGCCAUCAUUCCCAGUCUUCAAGGCAUUAUAUGACAUUCCCUUGGUUUGAAGUCUCAUGAUAAAGUAGCAUUCUACUGUAUUCUAUUUCAAAGUAGUUUCCAAGACAUUUAAAAUGCUGGAGUUGAUAUCAACAAAAAAAUAAACAAAUGGAAAUAACUGCUUAAUAGAACUUAAAGAAGGAUCUUAUCCUCCUUUAUUUUUUACUUUUCUAUUCUGUUAAAAGAUUUAAAAUUAUGUGAAAUCUCCUUUUAUAAAUAAAAACAUUUGCUCAGUUCACCAUUAUAACCAAUCACUGAGAGGAUGAGUAUUAAGAACUACAAAGAAACUACAAUUUCCUUUCCAAUGUUUUUUAGUCAGGUUAUUUUGUUGGACUACUGAGCUGCAUUGUUGACCAUAGCUAUAAAUGGUCAGGAACGUUCUCUACAUUGACUGAAUCAAUUUUCUCCAGCUUCACCUCUGAAACCAAUAUGAAACUAAUUGUCAAGUCUUCUUGGCAAUUUCUAGGAAAUUAAGUUGUGGUUCAGACCUCUACUGGAAAGAAUGAAAGACAGAGGUGAUUAUCAUACAUGAUACAUGAGUCUACCUGGCAAUUUUAGAGUGGUAUUAUUCAAUAAACGCAUACUGCCCCUUUUCUAACAAUGAUUUUACAUUGAUUCCUUUUUUUUAAUUAUCUCAUUCUCCAAAAGCAGGGCAGAUUAAAGAAAAUGAAUAAAGCCUCAUCUGAGUAUUUCAUCUGAUGUGAAUCAACAUGAGUGAGUUCUGUAAACCUGUGCCCAUUUAUCCCAGCUGUGUAUAUGACAGUUUUAUUAAAUGGAAUGUCUGUGAUGCAAUUUAGUAAAUCACGUUGAAAUAAGACAUUUUAACAGAAUGCAAACAGCAAUAAACUCUUUUAAUUCAAAAUCACAAAAAGGUUCAUUUAACAACAGGGUUAAAAUAAACACCACUUCAGAGCAGUAUUUAUCUGAGUGCCUAAUUUUAAAUCCAAAAAUAAUCAUUAUGUCUACAUUGGAGCUGAAAGGACAUGACAAUGCGAAUGGGGAGGUAGAAUGAGUAGAAUGGAUGGAGGAUAUUAUUUUACCCAAAAUUCUUUCAGUGUCACAUGCUAAAAUCAAAAUUACCAAACAGUAAUACAUCACAGAUUAAAAUGACAUUUUUUAGCCUGCUUCAAACAAGUAAAACGUAAAAACUACAAGUUUCCUUGUCAACACAGUGAUGUUACCAGAGGCUAAUAUGAUCUUGAAAUAUAUACAUUCUAAAUCUUCAUGUGAUAGCAACACUGAAAAAAGCAGAGGACUUUUAAGGCUGCGCAUAAUAUUAAUAUGUCAUACAGACAUACAGAUUUUUCCUGGUUUAAAAGGAUGUAUCUUCACCUUUCAAUAGUUUUAGUAGGUAUACAUUUCAACUUUAUUUAUAAACAAAAGGGGUCAAAUGGGUAUAUGUAUACCCCCAGAGUAUGCAUCAAGCGUCACUCUUCUGCAGAUUUGAUUGUGGUUUCCUUCUUUUUUAAAAUAUUUUUUUCUUUUUGUAACCACAGAUGUUAUAUCAUAAACAGAGAAUUCUAUUUCCAAUAGUUGUUGAGAUGUAAAGAAAAAUUACAGACAGAAAAUUCUUAAUUAAUUUUGAAAAGAAACAAAUUUGUAAAAAGAAAAAGAAAGAAGAAAUGACUAAUAAUAAAAAAAGUCCUUGCCAAACCUCAAAAUAUUCUGAGGUUC
Numida meleagris (helmeted guineafowl) is the source of this 3294-nucleotide long non-coding RNA. RefSeq lists it as uncharacterized. Lineage: Eukaryota; Metazoa; Chordata; Aves; Galliformes; Numididae. The transcript is spliced from 4 exons. The record is from RefSeq and is a predicted model, not a curated record.